GCUAGCUCUAAAGAGCUCGGGAAAGAGAUCAUGGCCCGGGACUGUGUGGAGAUGGGUUUCUGUCCUCUGAGGUGCAGGCUCCUCGGUGCUGUUCUCAGCUGUAGGAGCAGCUGUGCUGGAUCAGCCCAGCCCAGGCUGUUCCUGGCCAGUAACGAUAUUAAAAGAGGGGCAAGGCCAGGGCAGCCCUUUCCCCGGUGAGCCCUUGUAGCCUCCUGCUGAUGGCCAGCCAGAGACUUCCCGAGCUACAUCAUUAACAAGCUCAUCAUGACACGGUGCUGCUUCAGCCUGAUCUAGGAUUUGAUCUGGUAUUGUCUGCACUUCUGCUGCCUGGUGCAUCCCUGUGGCCAAAGCAGAACUGAGUCCUGCCUUUUCUGCAGAGAAAGUGUCUCUGAAUAUAUUUGGGCUUAAUAAUAUAUUCAGCAUCACGUUUAAACGACAACGUUUGGAAGACAAAUGCUGCCUUUGUCCAUGCUGCACAUUGGAAUCAUUCUGUGUGCCUGAAACAAGUUUUGGGCCUAACAGCAACUGGAUCUGGGACAGAUUAGGUCCACAGGCCUGUGGCCAGCAGUCUGCAGUGAUAGGCAAUUUUGGCAGAAGUGAAAAACGUAACGGGAAUUCUUUAGUGCUCUCUGAUUUAUGGUCUGACUAUUACAUGUGAACAGGAAAGCCUCAAGCCUGCUUAAGUUUAAACAUGGGAGGAUUCCUGCUGUCGUAAAUGAGUGCCCAUGGGUACGCUAACCGUGGGCACUGCAGCUGGCAGGCAUCGAAGGCAACUGAAAAUGCCUUCCUGGGCUCGGUUUGGUACGCUUAGAAGGGGAACGUGUCCCCUUAAAAACAUAACCCGUGCAUUGCAUUGCAUUUUAGAUUAAAUGCAAACCAUAUCGAUCAAGUAAUGCUGCAUAUUUAAAUAGGCUGAUUUAUGACAGAAACCCUAGCUGUUGCGAACUUUUGAUUUAAAUGCUUCAUUUUUAGAUCUGGCCAUUUCAUAAUUAUUCUCAGUCCUCUGUUGUAAAUAUACAUUAAGUUUCCAAUUAUAUAUUUAUUUUCUAAUUUAGAAGUGAGUAUGCUUUUAUCUCCUGUCUUUUACUUUAUGCUGGGCAUAACUUAAAGGUUUUGGACAAUAUACGUCAGGAGAUAUAUUAUCCUCCUUUGGUUUCACACAGUUUAAAGGGAAUUGGUGUACCAUAUUAUGUUAAACUUUAGAAAGGAUUCAACAUUUAGUAAUAACAUUUUGGAUGUAUUCUCAGCAAAAUGGUUUCAAAAGAAAGCUUGGAAAACUUUGAUUCAUUAAAGCUCAAAUAUGAAAGAAACAGGAGAUGUGGGAAAUGAUUGAUCUUAACAAAAGCAUUGCCAAGAACUGAGUGUUGCAAAACCUAAUUAGUGACCUGGAAAAUAGGUGGUAAUUAAGAAAGGCCAGGAGUGUCAGAGCUCCUCAAGCAGAGGCAUGAAAUUUCGUAUUACAGCAAUUGAGUCAAACUGGAUAGAAAAGGGGCGAUGGUGACUGCUCCUUUUCCCAAUUAAUGCCUGGAGGGACCAGAUGAGGCAGCGGGACCUCAAGUUUCACUUGCAGCUCUAGGUGGAAUGGGUGCUGCAUCUCAAGGCAAGUCAGCAAGUGUUCGAAUUAAGAACAAGUCAGCAAAUAUACCCUGAGAUCAGAGCUGCUUUAUCCUGAAAGAUAAUUUUAGGAGGAGGACCUAAAUACAUCUUUCUUUUUUCACAUAGAUGUUAUAGUUAUAAGAUAAAGAAACACUUAAUGCCCUAAAAGGUGGUAAAAUCUCCUCACAGAAUCUUUUAUCUUUUCCAGUAUAGACUUUGCUUGUAGUUGUGUUUUAUUUAAAUAUACCCAGGAAUUGUCAUUUUGCAUGUUUUUAUUAACACUUAAUUUAAUCAGACUUGUAUUUGAGUAGUCCAAAUAACUAAUUUUCAUGUAAGGAAGAUAACAACUUAUGUCCCAAUACAUUUCUCAGACCUGCCAACCAUGCAAAGAAGUGUCUCAAAAAUUUAAUGGUGCAAAAGUAAUACGCAGUUGCCAGCUGGGAGCGAAGUGCGGGGGAAACAAUGCGUACUGCUGCAGUGUUUUAGCAGAUAUAAAUCAAAUUCUCUUUAUUGCUAGCUUGCCAGUUAGCAUUUGUAUAGCAUUACCAAAGGGAGAGUUGAUUUGUGUAUUGGCACCUAGGGUAAGGUCUUUGGCCAGACGUUACAGCUGAGGAGCUGGUCUGGUCUCUGGCACUAAAAACGGAGAUGUUACAGGUUUUCACGGAUAAGAGCCAUCUGCAACCAUGUAAUGGAAUCCGAAAUAUGUUUAAUUUUUACCUUUUUGAUCACUGCAGCAA
Non-coding RNA from Anas platyrhynchos (mallard), 2333 nucleotides. NCBI's taxonomy places the organism in Eukaryota, Metazoa, Chordata, Aves, Anseriformes, Anatidae. The record is from RefSeq and is a predicted model, not a curated record.